GGUGCAGUAGUGGACGAUGACACGCGAAAAAAUGACCUGGGCGAGCUAACUGCGCAACCGAAGAGGGGGACCAGGUAGGGGACUAAGGAGAGGGAGAGGGAACGGACGGCGGCGGUGGUGAGUGGUCGCGGUAGAGGGUGUCGGCGGCAGUCGUGCCGCGGGAGGGGGCCCUCCUUCUUCCCACGUCUCCGUCGUCGGUCGGCGCUGAUUGGUGGCCGCAGGAGGGGGCUGUCCUUUCUCCUCCGGCGCUGAGUAGUGGCCGCGGGAGGGGGCCGUCCUUCUCCUCCCGUCUCCGUCGUCGGUCGGCGCUGAGCAGGCACAGCGCAAAACCGGGUCUACACCGGCGGGGCACGAGACGGGCAGCUGGAGCUAGGCUGGAGCCGUCAUCCUCGAGUUCGGCUACUCGCGCCGGAGUUAGGCCUGAGCCGUCCUCCUGUACGCGGUAGAGUAAGGGGAAGUGAAAACCAGCGUGGAGGGGGGUCCCAACGAUCUCUACCUCUGAAAGUACUGUAGAACAGUGGAGGUUUAUUUAUCUCUCCUUUUCGUCUACUCUUAUAACCAAGCUUUUAAGUUUCAUAGUUUCUUAACCAGACCGGAAACCAGUACCAUUCACUUGAGUCUAAAUAUUCCAGUCGACUUACUAUAGUAACAACAAAAUUUCAACUAAUGUAGCUUAUCCUAACUUUCCGACUUUACAACAACGAAAAAAAAGGAAGAGACUUCUUUAAUUAAUUCGACAACAAACCGGACACUAUAGAACACCAACAACCUCCCGAGGGUAGAUCGUGAUAGACGACCAGAUGUUUCUCAGUCCUCCGUGUACGACCCAAGUGAAACUACCCACCAUGAAAGUACAGUAAUGACCGACUAAUAACACUAAUAAAGUGGUCUUUAGCCCGUAUGAAGACGAUUACAACGUCUCCACCAAACAAUAAGCCUUGUAUCACGACAGUUUGUAUAGUGAUACUGUAAAGUCUGCCUUCCUUUGGACUAAUAACGAACCCCGAAGUAGAAACCGUUUACGAUAGAAUACCUACAUAGGCGAAAGUGUAAACACAAGUCUCAUGUUUGUCUCCGGUGUGUUAUCAACAACAACGACUAACAAAAAGAAGAUGUUUUCUACAACAAAUUCCAAUAACGAGUAGCUGGGAGAUUAAUCAGAACAACUUAAUUGAAGGUCUUGUAAACCAAGUAAAUUAUUUUACUCCACAGAAAGAUCGAACUCAAUACUAAACGUGUUAACAGGAUUAUGUAGUACUAAAUGGAUAACUAUUCACCAACGUGCUACUACGGUUUAAAUUAUUACGGCCUCAACUCUCUCUAUACUUUUGCUGAUAGUCCAGUUUCAUUCGUGGUGGACGAUGCGUUCGCUACAUGCCGCUACCGCUCGUGGUGACUCACACGUGCCACGUCUUCAGAGAUACCCUUCCCCCCGCCGACAGCCUAAAAUAACUUCGUUUUUUAACCAAAGACUACGUAAGUUUUUAGUUAUUAGUAGUCGCCGUUGUUUUAAAUGUUCUGGCCGGUCACCUACCACUGAUAGAGGUGUGAACUAGAAAGAUAAACUGUGACGUAUUGUAUAAUACCGCAGUAUUCUUGUCAGAAUACACUGCGGGCGUUCUCCCUGCACCAGAUGUAACUCGUCAUGAUGCUACCGCGGCUACUUGUAGACGAGUUCGUCCGCUACUACUUGCGCUCGCAGCCGAGUCACCCCCGUCACCUCCCAACAGCUUCAUUAUUCUCAUCAGACAUUAUGUAAAAGAUACGGUAGUACCGAUGGUAUUCUUCCUUCCCGGAGCCGGCUUUAGAGGUAGUCCAACGCGGGAGCUGGUCGUAGAGGUAGUUUAGGGCAGCUGCAACGUUGAAGGCUGCUGUGUAGGUCACAGCAACGGCUCAAGCGGCCGCCUUCUUCUUGUAAGCAGCUCGGCAGGUUACAGUGGACGCGCCGACGAUGUGCUCUCCACGGUUUCCACAGGCUAACUUGAGUCAACCUCCGGUUUGUCCAAGCCGAGAGCCUGUACGGUGGUUAUUACGAGCUACUGUGGCUACGCAUCUGAGGUUGACGUUACUUCAGGAGGUAUCUCUUCCCAAACGUCUUUUACUAGAACCGUAGGGUCUAUUCAUCCAGCCCCAGUUUCGGUCACGGUUCCCCCUAAGGUUACCUAGUGGUUGUGCUCUUUGAUUUUACCGUCCUGGUCUUUUCUACCAGGGUCUAGAGUGACGUCGGCCUACACGUUCUUGUGUGGUUACUAGUAGACACUCUGAUUGUGACUUAAAAAAAGCUACCUCGUAAUGGAGACGAUAAAUCGAAGAUCUCAUGUUAGUGAACGUGCAUGUUGAUAUUGUCGAUCGUCAUACCAAAUAGGGGAAGACCAAGAUGAUAAAGAGAUCUCACUACCGUAUCCUUCUCGUACACAUAUACAACUCCAAUCAGAAGACUUUGAUUACGACGUCUACAAGUAACAUCUGAGUCGUACACAUAAAUAAAAUAAAAAUGAAGAAACACUACAAACAACCAAACCGUACACCUAUUCUAAAAAAAAAAUCAAAUACUGAAGAAAGUACAAUCGCAAAAAUACGACUCGACAUCUA
This 2592-nucleotide ribosomal RNA is filed under the name Triticum aestivum (bread wheat). RNAcentral describes it as "partial small subunit ribosomal RNA". The record is from RNAcentral. Lineage: Eukaryota; Viridiplantae; Streptophyta; Magnoliopsida; Poales; Poaceae.